AACGAACGCUGGCGGAAUGCCUAACACAUGCAAGUCGAACGAGACCUUCGGGUCUAGUGGCGCACGGGUGCGUAACGUGUGGGAACGUGCCUUUAGGUUCGGAAUAUAUCAGAGAAAUUUGAGCUAAUACGGGAUGAUGUUUUUGGACUAAAGAUCUAUCGCCUUUAGAUCGGCCGGCGCUGGAUUAGCUAGUUGGUGGGGUAAAGGCCUACCAAGGCGUCGAUCCAUAACUGGUCUGAGAGGAUGAUCUGCCACACGGGUGCUUAGACAUGGCCCAGACUCGUACGAGCGGCAUCAGUGGGGAAUAUUGGACGAUUGACAAGAGCCUGAUCCAGCGAUCCCGCGUGAGUGAUCAAGUCCUUAGAGUUGGUUAGCUCCCUUACCCGACACUAUAAUGACAGUAUCGAGAGAAUAAGCGCCGACUAGCUCCGUA
This 433-nucleotide ribosomal RNA is filed under the name uncultured bacterium. Its description in RNAcentral is "partial 16S ribosomal RNA". It matches the Rfam family "Bacterial small subunit ribosomal RNA", at positions 29 to 507 of the family's 1533-position model. The record is from RNAcentral.